This 57-nucleotide transfer RNA is filed under the name Ictidomys tridecemlineatus (thirteen-lined ground squirrel). RNAcentral describes it as "Spermophilus tridecemlineatus (thirteen-lined ground squirrel) tRNA". It matches the Rfam family "tRNA", at positions 8 to 63 of the family's 71-position model. From Rfam's summary of the family: Transfer RNA (tRNA) molecules are approximately 80 nucleotides in length. Their secondary structure includes four short double-helical elements and three loops (D, anti-codon, and T loops). The record is from Rfam by way of RNAcentral. Lineage: Eukaryota; Metazoa; Chordata; Mammalia; Rodentia; Sciuridae.
UAGCUUAGUGGUACAGCACUUGUUCAGCAUGCAUGAGGUCCUGGGUUCAAUUCCCAG